UACAGAGGGUGCAAGCGUUAAUCGGAGUUACUGGGCGUAAAGGGCGCGUAGGCGGUUAUAUAAGUGAGAUGUGAAAUCCCUGGGCUUAACCUAGGAACUGCAUCUUAUACUGUAUGACUGGAGUAUUGUAGAGGGUAGUGGAAUUUCCGGUGUAGCGGUGAAAUGCGUUGAUCCAUAGGGUACCGCCAAAAAAGGCGAAGGCAAUUAACUAUUCCAUUUCUAACGUUGAGGCAUGAAAGCGUGGGGAGCAAACCGG
This 256-nucleotide ribosomal RNA is filed under the name uncultured bacterium. RNAcentral's name for it is "partial 16S ribosomal RNA". It matches the Rfam family "Bacterial small subunit ribosomal RNA", at positions 524 to 776 of the family's 1533-position model. The record is from RNAcentral.